AUUUUUACCUGGACGGGGUCAAUGAGCGAUCAAUAAGGCUCAUGGCCUAGGUUGGUAACUUCCAUUGCACUUUGGAAGGGUGUCUGCCUAAGGUCGACCUAAGUGGUCGAGCCUACGUCAUAAUUUGUAGUAGUAGAGGCUUGCGUUUGCGCGGCUCCUAA
This 161-nucleotide small nuclear RNA is filed under the name Nicotiana attenuata. Its description in RNAcentral is "snRNA U1". It matches the Rfam family "U1 spliceosomal RNA". From Rfam's summary of the family: U1 is a small nuclear RNA (snRNA) component of the spliceosome (involved in pre-mRNA splicing). Its 5' end forms complementary base pairs with the 5' splice junction, thus defining the 5' donor site of an intron. There are significant differences in sequence and secondary structure between metazoan and yeast U1 snRNAs, the latter being much longer (568 nucleotides as compared to 164 nucleotides in human). Lineage: Eukaryota; Viridiplantae; Streptophyta; Magnoliopsida; Solanales; Solanaceae. The record is from Rfam by way of RNAcentral.